GGAUGGAGGCCUUCGGGUUGUAAACCUCUUUUAUCGGGGAGCAAGCGAGAGUGAGUUUACCCGUUGGAUAAGCACCGGCUAACUACGUGCCAGCAGCCGCGGUAAUACGUAGGGUGCAAGCGUUAUCCGGAAUUAUUGGGCGUAAAGGGCUCGUAGGCGGUUCGUCGCGUCCGGUGUGAAAGUCCAUCGCUUAACGGUGGAUCCGCGCCGGGUACGGGCGGGCUUGAGUGCGGUAGGGGAGACUGGAAUUCCCGGUGUAACGGUGGAAUGUGUAGAUAUCGGGAAGAACACCAAUGGCGAAGGCAGGUCUCUGGGCCGUUACUGACGCUGAGGAGCGAAAGCGUGGGGAGCGAACAGGAUUAGAUACCCUGGUAGUCCACGCCGUAAACGGUGGAUGCUGGAUGUGGGGCCCGUUCCACGGGUUCCGUGUCGGAGCUAACGCGUUAAGCAUCCCGCCUGGGGAGUACGGCCGCAAGGCUAAAACUCAAAGAAAUUGACGGGGGCCCGCACAAGCGGCGGAGCAUGCGGAUUAAUUCGAUGCAACGCGAAGAACCUUACCUGGGCUUGACAUGUUCCCGACGACCCCAGAGAUGGGG
RNAcentral lists this ribosomal RNA (596 nucleotides) under uncultured bacterium. RNAcentral describes it as "bacterial SSU rRNA". It matches the Rfam family "Bacterial small subunit ribosomal RNA", at positions 406 to 1011 of the family's 1533-position model. The record is from RNAcentral.